RNAcentral lists this unclassified non-coding RNA (157 nucleotides) under Homo sapiens (human). RNAcentral describes it as "formimidoyltransferase cyclodeaminase (ENSG00000281775.2)". The record is from RNAcentral. Lineage: Eukaryota; Metazoa; Chordata; Mammalia; Primates; Hominidae.
GGCGCUGGGCUCCAUGGUGGGCCUCAUGACCUACGGGCGGCGCCAAUUCCAGUCCCUGGACACGACGAUGCGGCGCCUGAUCCCGCCCUUCCGCGAGGCUUCGGCCAAGCUAACCACGCUGGUGGAUGCCGACGCCGAGGCCUUCACCGCCUACCUG